RNAcentral lists this ribosomal RNA (292 nucleotides) under uncultured bacterium. Its description in RNAcentral is "partial 16S ribosomal RNA". It matches the Rfam family "Bacterial small subunit ribosomal RNA", at positions 505 to 796 of the family's 1533-position model. The record is from RNAcentral.
GUGCCAGCAGCCGCGGUAAGACGAAGGUGGCUAGCGUUGUUCGGAAUCACUGGGCUUAAAGAGCACGUAGGCGGCCUGUUAAGCACUUUGUGAAAUCCCCCGGCUUAACCGGGGAAUUGCUUGGUGUACUGGCAGGCUUGAGGCAAGUAAGGGCGCGUGGAACUCUUGGUGGAGCGGUGAAAUGCGUAGAUAUCAAGAGGAACGCCGGAGGCGAAAGCGAUGCGCUGGGCUUGUCCUGACGCUGAGGUGCGAAAGCCAGGGGAGCAAACGGGAUUAGAAACCCUGGUAGUCC